AUGCCCUGCUUCCAGGAAAAGCCUCUAAGCAUCAGGUAACAUCAAAUCGUACCCCAAACCGACACAGGUGGUCAGGUAGAGAAUACCAAGGCGCUUGAGAGAACUCGGGUGAAGGAACUAGGCAAAAUGGUGCCGUAACUUCGGGAGAAGGCACGCUGAUAUGUAGGUGAAGUCCCUCGCGGAUGGAGCUGAAAUCAGUCGAAGAUACCAGCUGGCUGCAACUGUUUAUUAAAAACACAGCACUGUGCAAACACGAAAGUGGACGUAUACGGUGUGACGCCUGCCCGGUGC
This 291-nucleotide ribosomal RNA is filed under the name Escherichia coli. RNAcentral's name for it is "partial 23S ribosomal RNA". It matches the Rfam family "Bacterial large subunit ribosomal RNA", at positions 1597 to 1869 of the family's 2925-position model. The record is from RNAcentral. Lineage: Bacteria; Pseudomonadati; Pseudomonadota; Gammaproteobacteria; Enterobacterales; Enterobacteriaceae.